Molecule: non-coding RNA, 66 nt
Organism: Manacus vitellinus (golden-collared manakin)
Lineage: Eukaryota; Metazoa; Chordata; Aves; Passeriformes; Pipridae
Source: Rfam
UGCAAAUGAUGAUCACUUUUUGCUGCUAAACACACGUGAUGACAAACCACCAAGAUCGCUGAUGCA